GGAUUGUUAGCUCAGUUGGGAGAGCAUCUGCCUUACAAGCAGGAGGUCGGGGGUUCAAGUCCCUCACAAUCCACCA
This 76-nucleotide transfer RNA is filed under the name Candidatus Mycoplasma haematohominis. Its description in RNAcentral is "Candidatus Mycoplasma haemohominis tRNA-Val". It matches the Rfam family "tRNA". Rfam says of the family: Transfer RNA (tRNA) molecules are approximately 80 nucleotides in length. Lineage: Bacteria; Bacillati; Mycoplasmatota; Mollicutes; Mycoplasmatales; Mycoplasmataceae. The record is from RNAcentral.